This 198-nucleotide ribosomal RNA is filed under the name uncultured bacterium. RNAcentral describes it as "partial 16S ribosomal RNA". It matches the Rfam family "Bacterial small subunit ribosomal RNA", at positions 328 to 539 of the family's 1533-position model. The record is from RNAcentral.
ACGCUCGACACCUACGAGAGGCAGCAGUGGGGAAUAUUGCACAAUGGGGGAAACCCUGAUGCAGCGACGCCGCGUGAGUGAAGAAGUAUUUCGGUAUGUAAAGCUCUAUCAGCAGGGAAGAAGAUGACGGUACCUGAGUAAGAAGCCCCGGCUAACUACGUGCCAGCACGCGCGGUAAUCUGAGCGGGCUGGCAAGGC